AAGGAAUUACGCUUGAGGACUAUUAGUCUGAGUGCACCCGGAAUCUAGAUUUUCGAUACCGGUGAGUGGACUUGUAUUUCAAACUUGUUUUGGGGAAUAUGAAAGAUUCUAUCCAACUUGUCUUAGAAAAUGUACCUUGGGAACAAGCUUUUAGUAAAAUGAUUUUAUAUUGUAAAAAUGUGCUAUACAAUGGUUUAUGUGUUAUCACAAUAUGAUAAAAUGCAUGAUAUGCAUUGGAUGCUUCUUUGCAUGUUGAUUUGGACCCGACUAUGUGCGAGUAGGAGUGCACAUAAGCUGUUGCUGACCCAGCUAUGUGCGAGUAGGAGUGCACAUAAGCUGUUGCUGACCCGACUAUGUGUGAGUGGGAGUGCACAUAAGCCGUUGCUGACCCGGCUAUAUGCGCAUAAGCCGUUGCAUAUGAGAUGAUGAUGAUGGGAUGGUGUGCAUGUUGAUGAUGGGUAUAUGGUUGUAAAUGCAAAUAU
This 482-nucleotide long non-coding RNA is filed under the name Theobroma cacao (cacao). RNAcentral's name for it is "long non-coding RNA (TCAC_LNC006159)". Lineage: Eukaryota; Viridiplantae; Streptophyta; Magnoliopsida; Malvales; Malvaceae. The record is from RNAcentral.